GAAUUACAUAGAUAUGACAAUAGAAUUCCUACUCCCUAAAUAGAAACAAGAAAGUUUGGCGUACAGCACAGAAUUAUAUAAUAUAUCGAAAUCAGUGUAAUAUACUUUUUAAUUCACUUGGAUCAGAAAAUCUAACAAGAGUUGCAGGAAUCAAAGAAAAAAAAAAAACAGUAUAUUCUCCUGACUAAACAGGAUUUGGGCACAAGUCACACUGGCCAAGAUGACACUCAUUUAUCAACACAUUUCCUAAGAUGGAUAGAAAACUCCACCUGAGGGAAUAAAUCAAUCCACGUCCACAAAAAUCUCUAAAUCAGGCAAUGGGACAUGGGUUUUCUUCUCUGAUUUGUCAAACACUGUAAUACCUGUUAUUUUCUGUACUCCAAGUUUAGUAGCAAUCAAGUUCAGGUGGAAAUCAG
This 416-nucleotide unclassified non-coding RNA is filed under the name Hevea brasiliensis (rubber tree). The record is from RNAcentral. Lineage: Eukaryota; Viridiplantae; Streptophyta; Magnoliopsida; Malpighiales; Euphorbiaceae.